RNAcentral lists this ribosomal RNA (458 nucleotides) under uncultured bacterium. RNAcentral's name for it is "partial 16S ribosomal RNA". It matches the Rfam family "Bacterial small subunit ribosomal RNA", at positions 28 to 507 of the family's 1533-position model. The record is from RNAcentral.
GACGAACGCUGGCGGCGUGCUUCAUACAUGCAAGUCGAACGAGAAGCUGACUUCGGUCAGUGGAAAGUGGCGGACGGGUGAGUAAUAUGUAGGAAAUCUGCCUUUAGGAGGGGGACAACAGAGGGAAACUUCUGCUAAUACCCCAUAUGAGCGUAGCUGACAUGCUAUUCUUGAAAACUCCGGUGCCUAAAGAUGAGCCUGCAUCUGAUUAGCUAGUUGGUAGUGUAAUGGACUACCAAGGCGACGAUCAGUAGCUGGUUUGAGAGGAUGAUCAGCCACAAGGGGACUGAGACACGGCCCAUACUCCUACGGGAGGCAGCAGUAGGGAAUUUUGCGAAAUGGGCGAAAGCCUGACGCAGCAACGCCGCGUGAACGAUUAAGCCCUUCGGGGUGUAAAGUUCUGUCAGUGGGGACGAAACUUGACGGUACCCACAGAGGAAGCACCGGCUAACUCCGUG